ACGUGAGUUCUGACUUUGGGAAUCAUCCUACUUCUCAUCUUAUGCAGUCUAUUCCAGGCAUGCACAAUCCUGAUAAAUUUGAGGUAUUCUGUUAUGCCCUGAGCCCAGAUGAUGGCACAAACUUCCGAGCGAAGGUGAUGGCAGAAGCCCAUCAUUUCAUUGAUCUUUCUCAGAUUCCAUGCAAUGGGAAAGCAGCUGAUCGCAUCCAUCAAGAUGGUAUACACAUCCUUGUAAAUAUGAAUGGUUAUACCAGGGGUGCUCGAAAUGAACUCUUUGCUCUCAGGCCAGCUCCUAUUCAGGCAAUGUGGCUGGGCUACCCUGGGACCAGUGGCGUGCUUUUCAUGGAUUAUAUCAUCACUGAUCAGGAAACUUCACCUGCUGAAGUUGCUGAGCAGUAUUCUGAGAAACUGGCUUAUAUGCCCCAUACUUUCUUUAUUGGUGAUCAUGCUAAUAUGUUCCCUCACCUGAAGAAGAAAGCAGUCAUCGAUUUUCAGUCCAAUGGGCACAUUUAUGACAAUCGGAUUGUGCUGAAUGGCAUCGACCUCAAAGCAUUUCUUGAUAGUCUCCCAGAUGUGCAGAUUGUCAAGAUGAAAUGUCCUGAUGGAGGAGACAACGCAGACAGCAGUAAUACAGCUCUUAAUAUGCCUGUCAUUCCUAUGAAUACUAUUGCAGAGGCAGUUAUUGAAAUGAUUAACAGAGGACAAAUUCAGAUAACAAUUAAUGGAUUCAGUCUUAGCAAUGGACUGGCAACUACCCAGAUCAACAUUAAGGCUGCCACUGGAGAGGAGGUUCCCCGUACCAUUAUUGUAACCACACGUUCUCAGUACGGGUUACCGGAAGAUGCCAUUGUGUACUGUAACUUUAAUCAGUUAUAUAAACUUGACCCAUCUACUUUGCAGAUGUGGGCAAAUAUUCUGAAGCGUGUUCCCAAUAGUGUACUGUGGCUGUUGCGUUUUCCAGCAGUAGGAGAACCUAAUAUUCAACAGUAUGCACAAAAUAUGGGCCUUCCCCAGAAGUGUAUCAUUUUUUCACCUGUUGCUCCUAAAGAGGAACAUGUUCGGAGAGGCCAGCUGGCUGAUGUCUGCUUGGACACUCCACUCUGUAAUGGACACACCACAGGGAUGGAUGUCCUUUGGUCAGGGACACCCGUGGUGACUAUGCCAGGAGAGACUCUUGCUUCCCGAGUUGCAGCUUCCCAGCUCACUUGUUUAGGCUGUCUUGAGCUUAUUGCUCAAAAUAGACAAGAAUAUGAAGACAUAGCUGUGAAACUGGGAACUGAUCUAGAAUACCUGAAGAAACUUCGUGGCAAAGUCUGGAAGCAGAGAACAUCUAGCCCUCUGUUCAACACCAAACAAUACACAAUGGACCUAGAGUGGCUCUAUCUACAGAUGUGGGAGCAUUACGCAGCUGGCAACAAACCUGAUCACAUGAUUAAGCCUGUUGAAGUCACUGAGUCGGCCUAAAUAAUGACUGUGUGCACAGGAGAAUUACCGUGUACCUGAGCCUCAACCUUCUGGGGGAAAGGGAACUACUUUUUCCUUAUCUAUACAAUACCAUGCUGCAGAUGGGUGACAGACAAUGAUAAGAAAUAGCACAGCCAGACUUGCUUCCUGCAUGAUCAUGAUCACGAUAGGGAGAGACACAAGAGAUGGGAAACUGCUGUUCCACAAGGAGUCUCCAUAGAAUUUUGCAGCAGCCAGGUGUCUGGAAGGUCUGGAAGGUAAGUCUGGAAGGUCUGAUCUCCCUUGGUCUUCCAUGGGAUGGAUGGUUAGUGUGGAAGGGAGAUAGAGAUUGCCCAGCCGUUUUGUGAUUAGCAUGGAUUGAUUGAGUCUUCUGAAUUAAUAUUUUUCUUUAUAUUUUGGGUAUUGGAGCUUUUAAAAAUGUUUGGUUUCAGGUAUUUUUAUUCAUGUGAAGUGUGGAUGAUUCUCUUGAGAUAAGCUUUUAAGCUAAAAUAUUCCUUGUUUUAGUUUCUGAACUCUACAGAUAAAUGGGGACUUUGCUGGUGUAGUCUUUUUAUAGGUUUUAUAAACCACUUGAGCCUAUAUCAGUCAUUUAAGUUUCUGACAUAAUGUUUGGAACUAUCAGUGCUCUGUUGGUUUAUAGAUGAUGGCUUAAAUUCUUUUCCUGGUCCAUUUCCUUCUUCCUUCCCCCCAACUUUAAAAAUUCUCCUGUAACUUGGCUAACAAAAGACCAAGUCUGAUUCAAAACCUCCCAGAGUGUUUCUCUUAACCGCAUCAUCUGGUGCCAAAUGAAGAUUCUUAGGAGUGAUUAUUAAUUCUGAAGGGCACAGUUGUGGUACUGUCACUGAUGAUAAUAAUAAUGGAUGUUUGGCCUAGA
Aethalodelphis obliquidens (Pacific white-sided dolphin) is the source of this 2337-nucleotide RNA transcript. It is a transcript of the gene named UDP-N-acetylglucosamine--peptide N-acetylglucosaminyltransferase 110 kDa subunit pseudogene, with no coding region annotated. Lineage: Eukaryota; Metazoa; Chordata; Mammalia; Artiodactyla; Delphinidae. The record is from RefSeq and is a predicted model, not a curated record. The transcript has a single exon.